CAGGAUUAGAUACCCUGGUAGUCCACGCCCUAAACGAUGUCAACUAGCUGUUGGGCCGGUUACGCUUAGUAGCGCAGCUAACGCGUGAAGUUGACCGCCUGGGGACUACGGUCGCAAGACUAAAACUCAAAGGAAUUGACGGGGACCCGCACAAGCGGUGGAUGAUGUGGAUUAAUUCGAUGCAACGCGAAAAACCUUACCUACCCUUGACAUGCCCGGAAGCUUCAAGAGAUUGGAGUGUGCUCGCAAGAGAACCGGAGCACAGGUGCUGCAUGGCUGUCGUCAGCUCGUGUCGUGAGAUGUUGGGUUAAGUCCCGCAACGAGCGCAACCCUUGUCAUUAGUUGCUACGAAAGGGCACUCUAAUGAGACUGCCGGUGACAAACCGGAGGAAGGUGGGGAUGACGUCAAGUCCUCAUGGCCUUAUGGGUAGGGCUUCACACGUCAUACAAUGGUCAGGACAGCGGGUUGCCAAGCCGCGAGGUGGAGCUAAUCUCUUAAACCUGAUCGUAGUCCGGAUUGCAGGCUGCAACUCGCCUGCAUGAAGUCGGAAUCGCUAGUAAUCGCAGAUCAGAAUGCUGCGGUGAAUACGUUCCCGGUCUUGUACACACCGCCCGUCACACCAUGGGAGUGGGUUUUACCAGAAGUAGUUAGCCUAACCGCAAGGGGGGCGAUUACCACGGUAGGAUUCAUGACUGGGGUGAAGUCGUAACAAGGUAGCCGUACCGGAAGGUGCGGCUG
Molecule: ribosomal RNA, 739 nt
Filed under: Oligella urethralis
Lineage: Bacteria; Pseudomonadati; Pseudomonadota; Betaproteobacteria; Burkholderiales; Alcaligenaceae
Description: bacterial SSU rRNA
Rfam family: Bacterial small subunit ribosomal RNA
Source: RNAcentral